RNAcentral lists this ribosomal RNA (439 nucleotides) under uncultured bacterium. RNAcentral describes it as "partial 16S ribosomal RNA". It matches the Rfam family "Bacterial small subunit ribosomal RNA", at positions 339 to 795 of the family's 1533-position model. The record is from RNAcentral.
CUACGGGAGGCAGCAGUGAGGAAUAUUGCACAAUGGGGGGAACCCUGAUGCAGCAACGCCGCGUGGAGGAUGACGCAUUUCGGUGUGUAAACUCCUUUUAUAUGUCAAGAAAAUGACGGUAGCAUAUGAAUAAGCACCGGCUAACUCCGUGCCAGCAGCCGCGGUAAUACGGAGGGUGCAAGCGUUACUCGGAAUCACUGGGCGUAAAGGACGCGUAGGCGGGUUGGAAAGUCAGGUGUGAAAUCCUACAGCUUAACUGUAGAACUGUACUUGAAACUUCUAAUCUAGAGUAUGGGAGGGGGAGAUGGAAUUAGUGGUGUAGGAGUAAAAUCCGUAGAUAUCACUAGGAAUACCUAAAGCGAAGGCGAUCUCCUGGAACAUUACUGACGCUAAGGCGUGAAAGCGUGGGGAGCAAACAGGAUUAGAUACCCCAGUAGUC